UGAUCUCUGUUGUACUCACAUAA
This 23-nucleotide non-coding RNA is filed under the name Arabidopsis thaliana (thale cress). The record is from RNAcentral. Lineage: Eukaryota; Viridiplantae; Streptophyta; Magnoliopsida; Brassicales; Brassicaceae.